CCUACGGGCGGCAGCAGUGAGGAAUUUUCGGCAAUGGGGGCAACCCUGACCGAGCAACGCCGCGUGCAGGACGAAGGUCUUCGGAUCGUAAACUGCUUUUCUGUGGGAAGAGCAAGGACGGUACCACAGGAAGAAGCCCCGGCUAACUACGUGCCAGCAGCCGCGGUAAUACGUAGGGGGCGAGCGUUGUCCGGAGUUACUGGGCGUAAAGCGCACGCAGGCGGUCGUAUAAGUUUGGGGUGACAGUUGCCGGCUUAACCGGGAAAGUGCCUCAAAGACUGUGCGACUUGAGGGCCACAGAGGGACAUGGAACUCCAGGUGUAGUGGUGAAAUGCGUAGAUAUCUGGAAGAACACCAAAGGCGAAGGCAGUGUCCUGGGUGGUACCUGACGCUCAGGUGCGAAAGCCAGGGGAGCGAACGGGAUUAGAUACCCCUGUAGUC
RNAcentral lists this ribosomal RNA (441 nucleotides) under uncultured bacterium. RNAcentral's name for it is "bacterial SSU rRNA". It matches the Rfam family "Bacterial small subunit ribosomal RNA", at positions 338 to 795 of the family's 1533-position model. The record is from RNAcentral.